GACACGAUGCGGCGUGACGCAACGGCUCUGGGAGGUGAAAUUCUUCUCGAGGCAGAUGAAGAUGAUGAGGAACUUGUAAGUUGAAAUUUUUUAUUUGUUGAACACAUCUUAUUGUUUUAAUUGUUUUAAGACUAAAAUAUUUGUUUUUUUUUAGGAUUAUCAAUUGGUUUUGACACAUCUGUUGACUACAAAUACCGGUGACCAGUGCAGACAUAGAAUCUAUCAAGCAAUAAAUUUUGCGCUGUCUGCUUCCCGAACAAGAACAGAAUUAGGUAUUUUCGCUAAAAAAAAUUAUUUAUUUAUUGCUGUAAUUAAUUUAGUUUAUUGAUUUCAGUUUUUUCUUUUGGAUAGUGUCAGAAGACGAUGGUGAUGGUCUAGAGAGAUACAUCGUCAGAAGAAGGUAUUUAGAUUAAUAAUUGGUUUACUUUUUUUUUUUAAUGGAUGCAGUAACUUGGUUGGCAUCAUUCGCAUUUGUUUUGGAGAGGAUUGUCACAAAUAUAUUUAGCUUGAGUAAGGAGUAAACCACCAUUACACCGAUGCUUAAUUUCUAAUCCCAUAAAAUACUCCAACCUGCCAAGUUGCUUAAGAGCAAGAACUUGAUGAAGCUUAUGAGUGAUUUUCUGAAUGAUUAAAAUCAUUUACACGCUAUAUUAAUGAUUAAAAUCACUGUACUAUAUAGUGAAGACCAAACUGGUAAACACUUUCAAUCAAUUAUGUAACUAUAUUACAAUUUUUGGCUUUCCUUUUUAAAAGAAUUCUGUUGUGAUAUGUGAUCAUUUUUCAAGUGUGCAUUAUGUCUACUUUGGUUUGGAAUAUAUUG
Molecule: long non-coding RNA, 820 nt
Filed under: Trifolium pratense (red clover)
Lineage: Eukaryota; Viridiplantae; Streptophyta; Magnoliopsida; Fabales; Fabaceae
Description: long non-coding RNA (TPRA_LNC004941)
Source: RNAcentral